GCACAUUGAUUGAUAACGGCACCAAAUUGACAAACAAACAUCGACAACAAGCAUAACGUAUUUGAGAAGCUUCCAACUUAAAAUAGCAAUCAAAACUCAGAGAGUAAAUAUAGACCACUUAAGAAGCAAGAAGAACCAAAUAAGCCAAAGAGGCCCUUUUACCCUCAAAGAAGGGAGCUCGCUUUCUGAAAAAUCCUUUAUUUUCACUUGUAAAUGAAAACUAAUGAUUCCAUUUUCACUUUGAUAUUCCAAUGAUUAGAUAAACUAAGUUCUCCAAAAGGAACUUAUAAAAUAAUCCUAGAAAAAUAAAUCAUAAUUGAAAAAAAAAUUUCUGGGUAACAAAUUCACCUAGAAAAAUACACAGCUUUGAAUAUGUGGGUUUAACAGCUGUGUCACUAAAGAAACUCAAUUUUAAAAUUUUUUAUGGGAACUUCUAAUCCAUUGUUUUCGAUUACUAAACAAAGCACAAUCCAGAAAAGGGUAUUUAUAGUGAAAGCAUAAGGAGUAGUUUUGAAAAUAGAAAGGAAUUACCUUGGAAGGAUCUACCUUCUGAAAAUUCUUGACG
Molecule: long non-coding RNA, 565 nt
Filed under: Manihot esculenta (cassava)
Lineage: Eukaryota; Viridiplantae; Streptophyta; Magnoliopsida; Malpighiales; Euphorbiaceae
Description: long non-coding RNA (MESC_LNC005384)
Source: RNAcentral